This 497-nucleotide ribosomal RNA is filed under the name uncultured bacterium. RNAcentral describes it as "partial 16S ribosomal RNA". It matches the Rfam family "Bacterial small subunit ribosomal RNA", at positions 28 to 507 of the family's 1533-position model. The record is from RNAcentral.
GAUGAACGCUGGCGGCGUGCCUAAUACAUGCCAGUCGAGCGAACAGACGAGGAGCUUGCUCCUCCGACGUUAGCGGCGGACGGGUGAGUAACACGUGGAUAACCUACCUAUAAGACUGGGAUAACUUCGGGAAACCGGAGCUAAUACCGGAUAAUAUAUUGAACCGCAUGGUUCAAUAGUGAAAGACGGUUUUGCUGUCACUUAUAGAUGGAUCCGCGCCGCAUUAGCUAGUUGGUAAGGUAACGGCUUACCAAGGCGACGAUGCGUAGCCGACCUGAGAGGGUGAUCGGCCACACUGGAACUGAGACACGGUCCAGACUCCUACGGGAGGCAGCAGUAGGGAAUCUUCCGCAAUGGGCGAAAGCCUGACGGAGCAACGCCGCGUGAGUGAUGAAGGUCUUCGGAUCGUAAAACUCUGUUAUUAGGGAAGAACAAAUGUGUAAGUAACUAUGCACGUCUUGACGGUACCUAAUCAGAAAGCCACGGCUAACUACGUG